This 284-nucleotide long non-coding RNA is filed under the name Ananas comosus (pineapple). RNAcentral's name for it is "long non-coding RNA (ACOM_LNC012136)". Lineage: Eukaryota; Viridiplantae; Streptophyta; Magnoliopsida; Poales; Bromeliaceae. The record is from RNAcentral.
AUGCCUAUAACUAAGUAUGAAUCACCAUAACAUGAUUUUAAAACUUUACCUUUACGUCGUGAUUCACAAUGUGAGCUAUUUUCCAAAAUCUUCGAAAUCUUGAACUCUUCAAUCUUCGGCAAUCCGCUUCGAUCCUUCAAGACUCCGACUCACUUCACGAAACUUGCCAAUACAAAAUCCUUAACAAUCUCCCCCUUUGGCAAUUUCGUGACAAAACUCACAAGACUCAAAAAUACAUAAAAGACAAUCGAAGUUCAAUGUCAUCACCAAAACAAUGAACUCCU